CACACCAUAGCUGAUUAAAGAACUCCAGAGACAGUGCAUGUGAGGGAGAGGGUCUGCGAGGGCUUCACCAGUCCUGGGCCCGACUCCUGCAGUUGAAACUGGGACAGGACAC
This is a non-coding RNA of Ceratotherium simum simum (southern white rhinoceros), 112 nucleotides long. The record is from RefSeq and is a predicted model, not a curated record. NCBI's taxonomy places the organism in Eukaryota, Metazoa, Chordata, Mammalia, Perissodactyla, Rhinocerotidae.